RNAcentral lists this non-coding RNA (29 nucleotides) under Mus musculus (house mouse). The record is from RNAcentral. Lineage: Eukaryota; Metazoa; Chordata; Mammalia; Rodentia; Muridae.
UACUCAAAUAAGGUUAUUUUCUGGGUAGC